This 253-nucleotide long non-coding RNA is filed under the name Sorghum bicolor (sorghum). RNAcentral describes it as "long non-coding RNA (SBIC_LNC009688)". The record is from RNAcentral. Lineage: Eukaryota; Viridiplantae; Streptophyta; Magnoliopsida; Poales; Poaceae.
ACUCGCCAAUGGAUGAUGAUCUAUACUUGAUCUUGAGAUAAUGAAAGUUCAUCUAGGCCUCCUAGUAGAUAUUUGUUGUUGAAUGGUAGAGCUAUUAAAGUACUAACGAGUUUGGUGCACCUUGGAUAUAUGUUUCAUUGCAAAUAAUAGUAUCAAACCUUUGUCAUUUCUCAAAUUGAAGAAAUGGUGAGCAAAGUGAGAAGGCAAAAGAGAGAAGGUUACAAUGGCUAUUAAUUAGCCCCAAUGGUGGCUU